AACGAACGCUGGCGGCGUGGAUAAGACAUGCAAGUCGAACGAGAGAAUUGCUAGCUUGCUAAUAAUUCUCUAGUGGCGCACGGGUGAGUAACACGUGAGUAACCUGCCCCCGAGAGCGGGAUAGCCCUGGGAAACUGGGAUUAAUACCGCAUAGUAUCGAAAGAUUAAAGCAGCAAUGCGCUUGGGGAUGGGCUCGCGGCCUAUUAGUUAGUUGGUGAGGUAACGGCUCACCAAGGCGAUGACGGGUAGCCGGUCUGAGAGGAUGUCCGGCCACACUGGAACUGAGACACGGUCCAGACACCUACGGGUGGCAGCAGUCGAGAAUCAUUCACAAUGGGGGAAACCCUGAUGGUGCGACGCCGCGUGGGGGAAUGAAGGUCUUCGGAUUGUAAACCCCUGUCAUGUGGGAGCAAAUUAAAAAGAUAGUACCACAAGAGGAAGAGACGGCUAACUCUGUGCCAGCAGCCGCGGUAAUACAGAGGUCUCAAGCGUUGUUCGGAAUCACUGGGCGUAAAGCGUGCGUAGGCUGUUUCGUAAGUCGUGUGUGAAAGGCGCGGGCUCAACCCGCGGACGGCACAUGAUACUGCGAGACUAGAGUAAUGGAGGGGGAACCGGAAUUCUCGGUGUAGCAGUGAAAUGCGUAGAUAUCGAGAGGAACACUCGUGGCGAAGGCGGGUUCCUGGACAUUAACUGACGCUGAGGCACGAAGGCCAGGGGAGCGAAAGGGAUUAGAUACCCCUGUAGUCCUGGCAGUAAACGGUGCACGCUUGGUGUGCGGGGAAUCGACCCCCUGCGUGCCGGAGCUAACGCGCUAAGCGUGCCGCCUGGGGAGUACGGUCGCAAGAUUAAAACUCAAAGAAAUUGACGGGGACCCGCACAAGCGGUGGAGUAUGUGGCUUAAUUCGAUGCAACGCGAAGAACCUUACCUGGGCUUGACAUGUAAUGAACAACAUGUGAAAGCAUGCGACUCUUCGGAGGCGUUACACAGGUGCUGCAUGGCCGUCGUCAGCUCGUGUCGUGAGAUGUUUGGUUAAGUCCAGCAACGAGCGCAACCCCUGUUGCCAGUUACCAGCACGUGAAGGUGGGGACUCUGGCGAGACUGCCCAGAUCAACUGGGAGGAAGGUGGGGACGACGUCAGGUCAGUAUGGCCCUUAUGCCCAGGGCUGCACACGUACUACAAUGCCCAGUACAGAGGGGGCCGAAGCCGCGAGGCGGAGGAAAUCCUAAAAACUGGGCCCAGUUCGGACUGUAGGCUGCAACCCGCCUACACGAAGCCGGAAUCGCUAGUAAUGGCGCAUCAGCUACGGCGCCGUGAAUACGUUCCCGGGUCU
This 1332-nucleotide ribosomal RNA is filed under the name uncultured bacterium. RNAcentral describes it as "bacterial SSU rRNA". It matches the Rfam family "Bacterial small subunit ribosomal RNA", at positions 28 to 1381 of the family's 1533-position model. The record is from RNAcentral.